Non-coding RNA from Cinara cedri, 274 nucleotides. Lineage: Eukaryota; Metazoa; Arthropoda; Insecta; Hemiptera; Aphididae. The record is from the annotation of a GenBank genome assembly.
UGCGUGUUUUCGUGCACACACCAAUAAUAAUAUGCGGUCACGUGCCAUCCAUCAGGUCGACAUCAUCACUGCUAUCCACUUGCAGCACUAUUUUCUAUCUAUUAUAUACAAUGUUGGACUAGACCAUCAGGCAAUAUCUUUAGUUAAGCCACCAAAAAAAUUUAGACAAAUCUGGUAAUUAAAAGUUGGAUCAAUAAUUAACUGGAGUGAGCGACUAAUCAAGUCUAAUACAACACAUAAUGAGCCCAAAGUUAUUAUGAUUUCCAGAAAAAUU